This 165-nucleotide ribosomal RNA is filed under the name Aphyllon cooperi subsp. palmeri. Its description in RNAcentral is "5.8S ribosomal RNA". It matches the Rfam family "5.8S ribosomal RNA". Rfam says of the family: 5.8S ribosomal RNA (5.8S rRNA) is a component of the large subunit of the eukaryotic ribosome. The record is from RNAcentral. Lineage: Eukaryota; Viridiplantae; Streptophyta; Magnoliopsida; Lamiales; Orobanchaceae.
AAACGACUCUCGGCAACGGAUAUCUUGGCUCUCGCAUCGAUGAAGAACGUAGCGAAAUGCGAUACUUGGUGUGAAUUGCAGAAUCCCGUGAACCAUCGAGUCUUUGAACGCAAGUUGCGCCCAAAGCCUUUUGGCCAAGGGCACGUCUGCUUGGGUGUCACGCAU